Molecule: long non-coding RNA, 292 nt
Organism: Selaginella moellendorffii
Lineage: Eukaryota; Viridiplantae; Streptophyta; Lycopodiopsida; Selaginellales; Selaginellaceae
Exons: 3
Source: RefSeq, a predicted model, not a curated record
CUAAAGCAGGAUGUGCAUCACUAGUGCCGGAUCCCUUGUAUUCUACGCAUUUUCUAAUAGUUUUUCACCAUGACUGGAUCUUGUGUGGUAAAAAAAGUACUUCGUAUUGGAAGGACUUUGCAAGACGCUUAAGUAUUUUAUUCGUGCCGUCCUAAGAUCUGAUCCCGGCGCUGUCUGGAAGGUUCUAGCCGGUGCGAACGGAUUGACCAGUGAACAGCCGGCUAUCUCAAAAGCAGCGAUCUUUGCUUCUGGUUUAGUCACGCAUUUUAUUCCUGAUGAAAUGCUCAAUCAU